GGAAUAUUGGGCGUAAAGCGCGCGCAGGCGGUCAUUUAAGUCUGGUGUUUAAUCCCGGGGCUCAACCCCGGAUCGCACUGGAAACUGGGUGACUUGAGUGCAGAAGAGGAGAGUGGAAUUCCACGUGUAGCGGUGAAAUGCGUAGAUAUGUGGAGGAACACCAGUGGCGAAGGCGACUCUCUGGGCUGUAACUGACGCUGAGGCGCGAAAGCGUGGGGAGCAAACAGGAUUAGAUACCCGGG
RNAcentral lists this ribosomal RNA (242 nucleotides) under uncultured Paenibacillus sp. Its description in RNAcentral is "partial 16S ribosomal RNA". It matches the Rfam family "Bacterial small subunit ribosomal RNA", at positions 552 to 790 of the family's 1533-position model. The record is from RNAcentral. Lineage: Bacteria; Bacillati; Bacillota; Bacilli; Caryophanales; Paenibacillaceae.